UACGGCCAAGGUCGUUAAAAACACCGACCAACAUCGUGGCGACUACGGACCAAGGUGGUUUUUGAAGUGGUGUGGUUUUUAGCGGCGGAGCAGCGUCGUAGCCCGAGUCGGCCAAGGUCGUAGGAGGCGGUGCCAAGGUAGCAAAACGGUGGCACCAAACGUCGUGGGCAGUCGCACCAGUGGCACGGGCACCACCCGUUGCGGUACGAGCCGACCAACGUCGUAGCGACCUGCGGCAGAGGUCGUGGUUACCUGCGGGGGCAGAGGUCGUGGGCGAGGCGGUGCGGCGGGGUUCCGGCGGCGGUACGUCACCAAUCGUCGCGGCGGGGGGCAGUUUCGGUACUCGUACCUCUUCCACGUCCGGUACAGGAGGGGGACGGAACGCGCUACUGCCCUGCACGACGCAGUGCACCUCUACCUCUGGCCGGCUCACAACGCGGCCGUAAAGGGAAUCUCAAAAAGCACAGUUGACGAAAACCGCCCAGCAAGGGGUACGCGACGCGCGCAGCACGCAACACCCCUGUCGACGGCUCCCCGGAGCUACCGAGCAGGUUAGGGGAGAGCAGGGCUGAGGGCUCCGAGCGCAGUCGGCGGAGCAGAGGUAGGGGCGAGUUAGGGGCGUCGACGACCUAGGUCUUUCUUUUAGGGGGUCGGCGGUGUGGGAAAGAAGAGGUACCGAGCCGAGGGGAGGGCGCACGCAGGGACGCCGCGGACACAUACCUACUCCUCCAGCUCCCGUGCUCGUUCCUAGUACGGCUUGUCCCCGCGUUACCCCACCGGCCCCUCGCGCGCCACAGACCUCUCUGUUUCUACGAGGAUUCGUCUCCUGCCGCGUCGCGACCGAAGAGGAGAGGGGGGCGACGGACGUGUGGAGCGGCUACAGACGAGCAGUAGGCCCUUCUGAGACUUCACCGUUAUCCCCAACCGCCUACGAGGCUCUGGUAUUUCUCGGAUAAGUUACUACUCUUCCUACUGUACCGCUUCCUCCUAAGGCUGUUCAAUCGGGGGUGUUAGCCCGUCAACCUCUCGAACGUGCUCGAACUAGGUACCUGUAGCAGUCUCACGAGUAAAAGAACGUCAUAUAAUAAAAGUCUAGAGUACAAAGAGUUCCGAACGAGAGUCGUGAGGAGAUCUGUCCCUUUCGGCUACUGAGGUAUAUCCUCAAAUCUAAUGAGACUCUUGACGGCCAUGGUACGGUAGUGCUUGUUCUAAGAACUACAACGAAUACCACGGGGAAACCUGAAGAAGAAGUUACCAGGGUGCGGCCGGGUUUAUUAUAUACAGAACGAAUAAAAAACCACGAGGAAGCCAACCCGGAAACCCGGUGGGGAGAGAAGAUAAUGUUUUUUUUCCCCCAAAUGUCGUUGAACACAGAAAUCCGACUUGUUUAUGUAAGGUUUACCUUUCCUCAUGGGUCAAAAUGGGUCUUUCAACUCCGGAAGACCACCAACU
Molecule: ribosomal RNA, 1452 nt
Filed under: Triticum aestivum (bread wheat)
Lineage: Eukaryota; Viridiplantae; Streptophyta; Magnoliopsida; Poales; Poaceae
Description: partial small subunit ribosomal RNA
Source: RNAcentral